This 694-nucleotide ribosomal RNA is filed under the name Phlegmacium alticaudum. Its description in RNAcentral is "eukaryotic LSU rRNA". The stretch from base 297 to 450 matches the Rfam family "5.8S ribosomal RNA". The record is from RNAcentral. Lineage: Eukaryota; Fungi; Basidiomycota; Agaricomycetes; Agaricales; Cortinariaceae.
UUAGAGGAAGUAAAAGUCGUAACAAGGUUUCCGUAGGUGAACCUGCGGAAGGAUCAUUAUUGAAAUAAACCUGAUGAGUUGCUGCUGGUUCUCUAGGGAGCAUGUGCACACUUGUCAUCUUUAUAUCUCCACCUGUGCACCUUUUGUAGACCUGGAUAUCUCUCUGAAUGCUAGCCACUCAGGUUUGAGGAUUGACUUUAUGUCUCUCCUUGCAUUUCCAGGCCUAUGUUUCUUUAUAUACCCCAAUGUAUGUCAUAGAAUGUAAUCAAUGGGCCUUUGUGCCUAUAAACCUAUACAACUUUCAGCAACGGAUCUCUUGGCUCUCGCAUCGAUGAAGAACGCAGCGAAAUGCGAUAAGUAAUGUGAAUUGCAGAAUUCAGUGAAUCAUCGAAUCUUUGAACGCACCUUGCGCUCCUUGGUAUUCCGAGGAGCAUGCCUGUUUGAGUGUCAUUAAUAUAUCAACCUCUUCAACUUUUGUUUGUCGAGUGUUGGAUUUGGGGGUCCUUUUUUGCUGGCCUUCUCAAGGUCAGCUCCCCUGAAAUGUAUUAGCAGAACAUUUUGUGGAUCGUUCAUUGGUGUGAUAACUAUCUACGCUAUUGACGUGAAACAGUUCAGCUUCUAACAGUCCAUUGACUUGGACAAAUUUUCAUUAAUGUGACCUCAAAUCAGGUAGGACUACCCGCUGAACUUAAGC